UACGGAGGGUGCAAGCGUUAUCCGGAUUUACUGGGCUUAAAGGGUGCGUAGGUGGGUAGGAAAGUCAGUGGUGAAAUCUUCGGGCUUAACCCGGAAACUGCCAUUGAUACUAUUUAUCUUGAAUACUUUGGAGGUAAGCGGAAUAUGUCAUGUAGCGGUGAAAUGCUUAGAUAUGACAUAGAACACCAAUUGCGAGGGCAGCUUGCUACACAGUUAUUGACACUGAGGCACGAAAGCGUGGGGAUCAAACAGG
Molecule: ribosomal RNA, 253 nt
Filed under: uncultured bacterium
Lineage: Bacteria
Description: partial 16S ribosomal RNA
Rfam family: Bacterial small subunit ribosomal RNA
Source: RNAcentral